GCUGGGUGUGGUAGCUCACGCCUGUAAUCCCAGCACUUUGGGAGGCUGAGGCGGGCGGAUUGCUUGAGCCCAGGAGUUUGAGACCAGCCUGGGCAACUGGGCAACAUAACUACACUUCAUCUCUACAAAAACUAAACAAAAAUUAGCUGGGUGUGGUGGCGCAUGCCUCUAGUCCCAGCUAACUCAGGAAACUGAGGUGGGAGGAUCACCUGAACCUGGGAAUUCGAGGCUGCAGUGAGCUAUGAUUGUGCCACAUCACUCCAGCCUGGGCAACAGAGCGAAACCCUGUCUCU
This is an unclassified non-coding RNA of Homo sapiens (human), 293 nucleotides long. It matches the Rfam family "Metazoan signal recognition particle RNA". From Rfam's summary of the family: The signal recognition particle (SRP) is a universally conserved ribonucleoprotein. NCBI's taxonomy places the organism in Eukaryota, Metazoa, Chordata, Mammalia, Primates, Hominidae. The record is from Ensembl.